This 253-nucleotide ribosomal RNA is filed under the name uncultured bacterium. Its description in RNAcentral is "partial 16S ribosomal RNA". It matches the Rfam family "Bacterial small subunit ribosomal RNA", at positions 524 to 776 of the family's 1533-position model. The record is from RNAcentral.
UACGAAGGGUGCGAGCGUUAUUCGGAAUGAUUGGGCGUAAAGGGUGCGCAGGCGGCAUGUUAAGUCAACUGUUAAAUAUUCUGGCCUAACUGGAAUUCAGCGGUAGAAACUGGCGUGCUUGAGGGUGGAAGAGAGAAGUGGAAUUCUCGGAGUAGCGGUAAAAUGCGUAGAUCUCGAGAGGAACACCGAUGGCGAAGGCAGCUUCUUGGUCCACAUCUGACGCUCAUGCACGAAAGCGUGGGGAGCAAACAGG